RNAcentral lists this ribosomal RNA (539 nucleotides) under Fusarium sp. RNAcentral's name for it is "eukaryotic LSU rRNA". The stretch from base 191 to 344 matches the Rfam family "5.8S ribosomal RNA". Lineage: Eukaryota; Fungi; Ascomycota; Sordariomycetes; Hypocreales; Nectriaceae. The record is from RNAcentral.
AACAAGGUCUCCGUUGGUGAACCAGCGGAGGGAUCAUUACCGAGUUUACAACUCCCAAACCCCUGUGAACAUACCUUAAUGUUGCCUCGGCGGAUCAGCCCGCGCCCCGUAAAACGGGACGGCCCGCCAGAGGACCCAAACUCUAAUGUUUCUUAUUGUAACUUCUGAGUAAAACAAACAAAUAAAUCAAAACUUUCAACAACGGAUCUCUUGGUUCUGGCAUCGAUGAAGAACGCAGCAAAAUGCGAUAAGUAAUGUGAAUUGCAGAAUUCAGUGAAUCAUCGAAUCUUUGAACGCACAUUGCGCCCGCUGGUAUUCCGGCGGGCAUGCCUGUUCGAGCGUCAUUUCAACCCUCAAGCCCCCGGGUUUGGUGUUGGGGAUCGGCUCUGCCUUCUGGCGGUGCCGCCCCCGAAAUACAUUGGCGGUCUCGCUGCAGCCUCCAUUGCGUAGUAGCUAACACCUCGCAACUGGAACGCGGCGCGGCCAUGCCGUAAAACCCCAACUUCUGAAUGUUGACCUCGGAUCAGGUAGGAAUACCC